RNAcentral lists this ribosomal RNA (300 nucleotides) under uncultured Mycoplasma sp. RNAcentral describes it as "bacterial SSU rRNA". The stretch from base 52 to 300 matches the Rfam family "Bacterial small subunit ribosomal RNA", at positions 547 to 795 of the family's 1533-position model. The record is from RNAcentral. Lineage: Bacteria; Bacillati; Mycoplasmatota; Mollicutes; Mycoplasmatales; Mycoplasmataceae.
GGAAAUCCGGGGCCAGAGUGCGGGGUAAGAAGGGGGGGGGAAGAGGUAAUAGGAAUUACUGGGCGGAAGGAGGAUGUAGGUUGGGUUGGAAGGUGGAAGUGAAAGCCUAUGGCUUAACCAUAGAACUGAUUCCAAAACUACUUACCUAGAAUAUGGGAGAGGUAGAUGGAAUUUCUGGUGUAGGGGUAAAAUCCGUAGAGAUCAGAAGGAAUACCGAUUGCGAAGGCGAUCUACUGGAACAUUAUUGACGCUCAGAUGCGAAAGCGUGGGGAGCAAACAGGAUUAGAUACCCGUGUAGUC